RNAcentral lists this transfer RNA (85 nucleotides) under Clostridiales bacterium. Its description in RNAcentral is "tRNA-Leu". It matches the Rfam family "tRNA". Rfam says of the family: Transfer RNA (tRNA) molecules are approximately 80 nucleotides in length. The record is from RNAcentral. RNAcentral also lists the same sequence under 2 other names. Lineage: Bacteria; Bacillati; Bacillota; Clostridia; Eubacteriales.
GCGGGCGUGGCGGAAUGGCAGACGCGCCAGACUUAGGAUCUGGUGCCCUAGUGGCGUAUGGGUUCAAGUCCCUUCGCCCGCACCA